GAGAGAAGAUGGCAAAGAGAGCAAGCGGGUAUCAACACAAGUGCAGCGAGCGUGCAACAACUCUUUCCUCAAUCCACUGCCUCCUCUCCCCCAAUCUCCCAAUCCUGCCUCUUCUACUUCUCCUUGGGUCCUACGCCUGCUGCCCUCCCCCCAAGCCGCUUCCCUCUCUCCUUUUCGAGCUUAGGAAGGAGGAGGGAUGUGAAGGGGAUAAGUGGGGUGUGACAGAGAAGGAGAGCGAGGCGGCGGCUCGAGCCAAGGAGCACAACCUCGAUCUGGGCUUAGGAGGAGGAGAGGUGUAAUAACCGCAGCACGGCCAUGGUCCGGCCUCAGCAUGAGGAGCUAGAGUGAGGAGCGCGGCCUCAAUCCGGACUCAAUAGGAGUCAGCAAGAGAGGAGUAGCAACCAUAGCGCGACCUCGGUCCGGCCUCGACAGAAGCAGAUCGAGCAGAGGGGCAAGGCCUCGACUUAGAACCAGGGGAGGAAGAGAGGAGCAGCAGCACGGGGAGAAGAAAACAAUGGGGUGUGGUCUUCUAGAGGUGCAUCUGGUCUAUGCCAAGGGCCUCUCCAGCAGUGAUUUCCUUGGGAAUAUAGACCCGUGGUCGUUAGGUGCCGGAGCCAGGAGCACAAGGGAAACACCACCUGAGAUCGACCACCUCAGAUGGUGCUGAAAAGGGUGGAAAGCAGUCUCCAUUAGAUGUUGGAAAUAUGCCCUAGAGGGCAUAUUUCCAACACCUAGCAUGUACAGACAUGGCCUCAGAACACAAGAUACCGAAAGGUAGAACAUGAGUUACAUAGUAGAUAUGGUCAACAUGAAGAUGUUCACCAUUGAAACCACCUCUUCUCACAUGAUGAUCAGACUUGGGUUUGUGGGUUUGGAUC
This is a long non-coding RNA of Hordeum vulgare subsp. vulgare (domesticated barley), 878 nucleotides long. RefSeq lists it as uncharacterized. The record is from RefSeq and is a predicted model, not a curated record. NCBI's taxonomy places the organism in Eukaryota, Viridiplantae, Streptophyta, Magnoliopsida, Poales, Poaceae. The transcript is spliced from 4 exons.